This 77-nucleotide transfer RNA is filed under the name Succinivibrionaceae bacterium. Its description in RNAcentral is "tRNA-Met". It matches the Rfam family "tRNA". Rfam says of the family: Transfer RNA (tRNA) molecules are approximately 80 nucleotides in length. Their secondary structure includes four short double-helical elements and three loops (D, anti-codon, and T loops). The record is from RNAcentral. Lineage: Bacteria; Pseudomonadati; Pseudomonadota; Gammaproteobacteria; Aeromonadales; Succinivibrionaceae. RNAcentral also lists the same sequence under 1 other name.
GGCUAUGUAGCUCAGUUGGUUAGAGCGCGGCACUCAUAAUGCUGAGGUCAUUGGUUCAAUUCCAAUCAUAGCUACCA